This is a long non-coding RNA of Hyla sarda, 224 nucleotides long. RefSeq lists it as uncharacterized. The transcript is spliced from 3 exons. NCBI's taxonomy places the organism in Eukaryota, Metazoa, Chordata, Amphibia, Anura, Hylidae. The record is from RefSeq and is a predicted model, not a curated record.
CAUGAACUUGAAGGGUUUGGUUUUUACGUCAUUCCCUUUGUGCUAUCUUUAUUCUCCAGAGAUGAAGAUGAAGCACCACUAAAGCUAUAAGCAGGCAACUACGUUUUUCAAGGGUGUAUAUGUCUCCAUGGUCUGGUUCAGUCACAAUAAUGGAGCAGGUGCAGCGCUUAUUCAGGGAAAGAAGAAAAAGAAAAGAACUCACAACCUGUAUGAAGCAAUAAAAG